RNAcentral lists this small RNA (29 nucleotides) under Bombyx mori (domestic silkworm). RNAcentral's name for it is "ovarian small RNA-8698". The record is from RNAcentral. Lineage: Eukaryota; Metazoa; Arthropoda; Insecta; Lepidoptera; Bombycidae.
UGGACAUGGUGGAGAUCAGCUUUGUCCUA